Molecule: ribosomal RNA, 439 nt
Filed under: bacterium CPTAC74
Lineage: Bacteria
Description: bacterial SSU rRNA
Rfam family: Bacterial small subunit ribosomal RNA
Source: RNAcentral
UUUGAACGCGAAAGACCUUACCAUCCUUUGACAUGGCGUGUUACCCAGAGAGAUCUGGGUUCCCCCUUCGGGGGCGCGCACACAGGUGCUGCAUGGCUGUCGUCAGCUCGUGUCGUGAGAUGUUGGGUUAAGUCCCGCAACGAGCGCAACCCACGUCCUUAGUUGCCAUCAUUCAGUUGGGCACUCUAGGGAGACUGCCGGUGAUAAGCCGCGAGGAAGGUGUGGAUGACGUCAAGUCCUCAUGGCCCUUACGGGAUGGGCUACACACGUGCUCCAAUGGCGGUGACAGUGGGAAGCGAAGGGGCGACCUGGAGCAAAUCCCCAAAAGCCGUCUCAGUUCGGAUUGCACUCUGCAACUCGAGUGCAUGAAGGCGGAAUCGCUAGUAAUCGUGGAUCAGCAUGCCACGGUGAAUACGUUCCCGGGUCUUGUACACACGCA